Molecule: long non-coding RNA, 289 nt
Filed under: Homo sapiens (human)
Lineage: Eukaryota; Metazoa; Chordata; Mammalia; Primates; Hominidae
Description: HSALNT0019171
Source: RNAcentral
CUUGAUUCUGGAAACUAAGGAGUUUCUCAUGAAUUGUGUCACACUGAGAUGGGAGUUGUCAAUCCAUGGGACUAGAACCGGCUCUCAGAACCUAAAUGAAGAACAAGAAUACAGUUGCACAGCUGGGAGAGCAGGUGAAUGUGUAGCAGGUCAAAUGAAGUCUCAUGACCAAACUCAGAGUUGUAAGAAGGACUCUACAAAGGAGGCAUCGUUCACUGUGGGCCGUCUAUGUAAAAGUCGAACAAAGCAUGUACUUACAUGACAUCAUGUAUUUAUACCACAAGUUUUU